This 258-nucleotide ribosomal RNA is filed under the name Dondersiidae sp. 4-SB FSB-2019. Its description in RNAcentral is "partial large subunit ribosomal RNA". The record is from RNAcentral. Lineage: Eukaryota; Metazoa; Mollusca; Solenogastres; Pholidoskepia; Dondersiidae.
AGCUAUCUAUAGGAUAUUAAAUAAAAAUUAUUUUUAAAGUGAAAAAUCUUUAAUACAAUAAAAAGACAAAAAGACCCUAUAGAGUUUUAUUCAUCACUAUAAAUAAAUAUAAAUGAAUUUAGUUGGGGCAACUAAUGAAAAAAGAAAUUUCUUUUUAUUAGCUAAAAAUAUAAUCAUUAAUUUAAUAAUAUAAAAUAAAUUACCUUAGGGAUAACAGCGUAACUUUUUUUGANAGUCCAAAUCGAAAAAAAAAAUUAC